AACGAACGCUGGCGGCAGGCCUAACACAUGCAAGUCGAGCGAGGACUUCGGUCCUAGCGGCGGACGGGUGAGUAACGCGUGGGAACGUGCCCUUUGCUUCGGAAUAGCCCUGGGAAACUGGGAGUAAUACCGGAUGAGCCCUUUGGGGGAAAGAUUUAUCGGCGAAGGAUCGGCCCGCGUUGGAUUAGGUAGUUGGUGGGGUAAUGGCCUACCAAGCCGACGAUCCAUAGCUGGUUUGAGAGGAUGAUCAGCCACACUGGGACUGAGACACGGCCCAGACUCCUACGGGAGGCAGCAGUGGGGAAUCUUAGACAAUGGGGGAAACCCUGAUCUAGCCAUGCCGCGUGAGCGAUGAAGGCCUUAGAGUUGUAAAGCUCUUUCAGCUGGGAAGAUAAUGACGGUACCAGCAGAAGAAGCCCCGGCUAACUCCGUG
This 433-nucleotide ribosomal RNA is filed under the name uncultured bacterium. Its description in RNAcentral is "partial 16S ribosomal RNA". It matches the Rfam family "Bacterial small subunit ribosomal RNA", at positions 29 to 507 of the family's 1533-position model. The record is from RNAcentral.